UUAAGGUUUCGUGUGGCAAAUGUAUUACAUGUUUUGACAUAUGUACAUGGACAUGCAGCAAGAGGAAAAAUUGUCAGCUGAGUUAAAAUAGAACAAACAUUGAUCAAAAGAUUAACCGCUAACACACUGACUGAUUAAUUACUUUUAUCUUGCACAGCGGAAUUGUCAAAAAGGCACACACUGAAUACACCCACAUUCUGUCGUAAAAUGCUAGUGUAAACACAAUGUUCUUCCUUCAUUACGUUGAUCUAUUGCUCAUUGUUGUCUAACUAAAUUAUUUUUUUUAAAGAAUAGUCGACAUCAUGCAAAUAGUUGUCAGGUGUGCGAUCUUGGGUGACCAAAGAGAUUAUACACAAUAUGAAAAACUCUGAAACGUGAUCAGUUGAGAAAUCAGUGAUGGCAAUAUUCACCUGUGGCCUUCUUCAUAAUCUGCAACAGUUGCCGAGCCUC
This is a long non-coding RNA of Haliotis rubra (blacklip abalone), 450 nucleotides long. RefSeq lists it as uncharacterized. Lineage: Eukaryota; Metazoa; Mollusca; Gastropoda; Lepetellida; Haliotidae. The transcript has 2 exons. The record is from RefSeq and is a predicted model, not a curated record.